UACAGAGGGUGCGAACGUUGCUCGGAAUUACUGGGCGUAAAGCGCGUGUAGGCGGGACCGUAAGUCAGAUGUGAAAUCCCCGGGCUCAACCCGGGAACUGCAUCUGAAACUGCGGACCUUGAGUACUGGAGAGGGCGGCGGAAUUCCUGGUGUAGAGGUGAAAUUCGUAGAUAUCAGGAGGAACACCGGUGGCGAAGGCGGCCGCCUGGACAGUCACUGACGCUGAGACGCGAAAGCGUGGGGAGCAAACAGG
This 253-nucleotide ribosomal RNA is filed under the name uncultured bacterium. RNAcentral's name for it is "partial 16S ribosomal RNA". It matches the Rfam family "Bacterial small subunit ribosomal RNA", at positions 524 to 776 of the family's 1533-position model. The record is from RNAcentral.